Eriocheir sinensis (Chinese mitten crab) is the source of this 1116-nucleotide long non-coding RNA. RefSeq lists it as uncharacterized. The record is from RefSeq and is a predicted model, not a curated record. NCBI's taxonomy places the organism in Eukaryota, Metazoa, Arthropoda, Malacostraca, Decapoda, Varunidae. The transcript is spliced from 5 exons.
AUACGAGUGACCGGAGGAGGCGUGGGAGGUGCCGCUUGCCGUCCGCCACGCCCUGCCACGCCCUGGGAGUUGAGAACCUGGAGAAGGCGUGUAGCGGGCAUAGAGAGGUUGUCACUCGAAUCGUUCUUCAAAGGGUUCUCCCAUCAACGAUGGAAUCCAUUCUUGGUGCUCCGCUGUAUUCCAUCGAGUAAUUCGGUAGCCUUGUACAUGAGGAUCCACAACAGCACUGCGUAUUUCAGCAUAACAAUUCGUCCCUCCCUCCGGCCGUUAUUACCUGGAGCAGCUUUUACCUGUGUACUGAUUGGCCUCCUCUUUCUCUGUACAGGUAGUCACUUGUUGGGAGACCGUGGAUAUCCCAGCAAGCCAUGGCUCCUGACAGCAUAUCUGCGACCUCUGCCUGGACCUCAGUCACGCUAUAAUAGAAAAAGGUUCCUGGGUGGUGGGAGGCAUGUCUUGGCAAUAACACACAGGGAGAAGCAUGACCUAUGAAGCUAGGCUGUUCAAGAAUAAUGGAGGUUAUCUCAAAAUAUAAAUAGCAUCAAAUGAUUAAAAAAAUCUUUGGAAAACAUGAUUGCUUCUUCAUCAAUACCUUUAAGUCCUGUUAGGACACACACACACACACACACACACACACACCCAAGCAUGGCUCAAAUCCUAUAUGCUAAUAAUAAUAAGGGAAACAGGUUCACCCCCUCCCCACACACAUACAAAUUUGGAAAGGUAAAAGUUUUCAGUAGUAUUGGGUGCCUCCAUAUUUAUAUGAAAGUCCUUCAUGAUCUCUGUGAACGUAUUUCAUUAAAGAUGGGCUGCAUAUAGGUAGUAGAUCUCUAACUAAUGGGCAUAGCUGUAACAAAAAUGUACAAAAUAUAUGUCUCACCUUAUAUGUGCUUUACAUCAACCUUGCAUGCAUGUUUCUUGUUAGGGGUUGAAGGUGGAAUGUUAAGGAGCAAAAUUACAUACCACUGCAGACCCUUGACUAUCUUGAUAGUACAAAAUACAACUAGGCUAUUUACAGUGGCCAGCAACUGAGUACUCUGACUGCAGUGGGUUCGGCACUUACAUCAUUAUCACGCUUUCUCUUUCUCACACACAAAGGUGCGUACACACACACACACA